GAAAAAGAUUAUAAUUCGGGCUGCUAACUUUGAAUAAAAGUAUUAAUUUACUUAUUUUUCU
This 61-nucleotide transfer RNA is filed under the name Mesaphorura yosii. Its description in RNAcentral is "tRNA-Ser". Lineage: Eukaryota; Metazoa; Arthropoda; Collembola; Poduromorpha; Tullbergiidae. The record is from RNAcentral.